UUAGCAUAUCAAUAAGCGGAGGAAAAGAAACCAACAGGGAUUGCCCUAGUAACGGCGAGUGAAGCGGCAACAGCUCAAAUUUGAAAUCUGGCUCUUUCAGGGUCCGAGUUGUAAUUUGCAGAGGGCGCUUUGGCGUUGGCAGCGGUCCAAGUUCUUUGGAACAGGACGUCACAGAGGGUGAGAAUCCCGUACGUGGUCGCUAGCCUUCGCCGUGUAAAGCCCCUUCGACGAGUCGAGUUGUUUGGGAAUGCAGCUCUAAAUGGGAGGUAAAUUUCUUCUAAAGCUAAAUACUGGCCAGAGACCGAUAGCGCACAAGUAGAGUGAUCGAAAGAUGAAAAGCACUUUGGAAAGAGAGUCAAAUAGCACGUGAAAUUGUUGAAAGGGAAGCGCUUGCAGCCAGACUUGCCUGUAGUUGCUUAUCCGGACUUUUGUCCGGUGCACUCUUCUGCGGGCAGGCCAGCAUCAGUCUAGGCGGUUGGAUAAAGGUCUCUGUCAUGUACCUCUCUUCGGGGAGGCCUUAUAGGGGAGACGACAUGCAACCAGCCUGGACUGAGGUCCGCGCAUCUGCUAGGAUGCUGGCGUAAUGGCUGUAAGCGGCCCGUCUUGAAACACGGACCAAGGAGUCUAACAUCUAUGCGAGUGUUUGGGUGUCAAGCCCAGACGCGUAAUGAAAGUGAACGGAGGUGGGAACCCUUUGGGUGCACCAUCGACCGAUCCUGAUGUCUUCGGAUGGAUUUGAGUAAGAGCAUGGCUGUUGGGACCCGAAAGAUGGUGAACUAUGCUUGAAUAGGGUGAAGCCAGAGGAAACUCUGGUGGAGGCUCGCAGCGGUUCUGACGUGCAAAUCGAUCGUCAAAUUUGGGCAUAGGGGCGAAAGACUAAUCGAACUAUCUAGUAGCUGGUUCCUGCCAA
This 910-nucleotide ribosomal RNA is filed under the name Neosetophoma cerealis. RNAcentral's name for it is "partial large subunit ribosomal RNA". It matches the Rfam family "Eukaryotic large subunit ribosomal RNA", at positions 35 to 964 of the family's 3401-position model. Lineage: Eukaryota; Fungi; Ascomycota; Dothideomycetes; Pleosporales; Phaeosphaeriaceae. The record is from RNAcentral.